This is a long non-coding RNA of Astyanax mexicanus (Mexican tetra), 323 nucleotides long. RefSeq lists it as uncharacterized. The record is from RefSeq and is a predicted model, not a curated record. The transcript is spliced from 3 exons. Lineage: Eukaryota; Metazoa; Chordata; Actinopteri; Characiformes; Acestrorhamphidae.
AUUUCAGCAGUGAAGCUGUAACUUCUGAACCAAAACUGGAUCAGGAUAAGAGAUCAGACUCACCUGAACCCAGCUGUGUCUCCAUGAAGAGUGACCAGUCAAUGGGCAGAAUAAUAAACUUCAGAGAGGACAACAGUUCUGCUGAUCUCAGAGUCCAGAAGGAGACUCCAGAAAUCAGCAGGAGAAAUAUGGACUUCAUAUUAAAGGUGUGUAGGUGUGACUAAUGCCAGAGCACAUGUGAACACUGUAAAAUGUGAUUUAAACUUUAAAUAUGAAGUGAUAAAUAUAAUUAUUCAUUUUAAUAAACAUAUUUUCAGAUUACA